Molecule: ribosomal RNA, 374 nt
Filed under: uncultured organism
Description: partial 16S ribosomal RNA
Rfam family: Bacterial small subunit ribosomal RNA
Source: RNAcentral
GUAGGUGGCAAGCGUUGUCCGGAAUUAUUGGGCGUAAAGCGCGCGCAGGCGGUUCUUUAAGUCCGACGUGAAAGCCCACGGCUCAACCGUGGAGGGUCAUUGGAAACUGGAGAACUUGAGUACAGAAGAGGAAAGCGGAAUUCCACGUGUAGCGGUGAAAUGCGUAGAGAUGUGGAGGUACACCAGUGGCGAAGGCGGCUUUCUGGUCUGUAACUGACGCUGAGGCGCGAAAGCGUGGGGAGCAAACAGGAUUAGAUACCCUGGUAGUCCACGCCGUAAACGAUGAGUGCUAAGUGUUAGGGGGUUUCCCGCCCCCCUUAGUGCUGCAGCUAACGCAUUAAGCACUCCGCCUGGGGAGUACGGCCGCAAGGCUG